This is a long non-coding RNA of Oncorhynchus keta (chum salmon), 1005 nucleotides long. RefSeq lists it as uncharacterized. NCBI's taxonomy places the organism in Eukaryota, Metazoa, Chordata, Actinopteri, Salmoniformes, Salmonidae. The record is from RefSeq and is a predicted model, not a curated record. The transcript is spliced from 2 exons.
AAACAGAGUGGGUCCCGUAGAAACUGUCUGAACCCCAAACGGCACCCAGUUCAGGGUCUGGGAACCUCCCCUGUUGAUGUUGAUGAAAUGGAACAGAGUGGGUCCCGUAGAAACUGUCUGAACCCCAAACGGCACCCAGUUCCCGAAUUAGUUCACUACUUUUGACCACAAACCAAUGUCAACAGGUAAUGCGCUUAAACAGGGAAUAGGGUGUCAUUUGGGAUUGAGACACUAUUGUUCAACUGAAAAUAUAAUUUGAUCAGGAGGUGUUUUAAAUGUUUUUAUUUUUAUCACGUUUGUGUCUUAAGAGUCAGUGUGAGUUUGUCCCAAAUGGCACCCUAUUCCCUAUGCAGUGCACUACUACAGUAACCACAGAGGGUUUAGCCAAUCAGGGCUCUGGUUAAAAGUAGUGCACUACUACAGUAACCACAGAGGGUUUAGCCAAUCAGGGCUCUGGUUGAAAGUAGUGCACUACUACAGUAACCACAGAGGGUUUAGCCAACCAGAGCUCUGGUUAAAAGUAGUGAACUACUACAGUAACCACAGAGGGUUUAGCCAAUCAGGGCUCUGGUUAAAAGUAGUGCACUACUACAGUAACCACAGAGGGUUUAGCCAAUCAGGGCUCUGGUUGAAAGUAGUGCACUACUACAGUAACCACAGAGGGUUUAGCCAAUCAGAGCUCUGGUUAAAAGUAGUGAACUACUACAGUAACCACAGAGGGUUUAGCCAAUCAGGGCUCUGGUUAAAAGUAGUGCACUAUAUAGGGAAUAGGGCUCCAUUUGGUGAGUAGUUCAUCUGGUUGUAGGUAGUGUACUACAUAGGGAAUAGGGCUCCAUUUGGUGAGUAGUUCAUCUGGUUGUAGGUAGUGUACUACAUAGGGAAUAGGGCUCCAUUUGGUGAGUAGUUCAUCUGGUUGUAGGUAGUGUAAAUACAAAAUAUAUAAAGUCCUUUUUUUCCCCCACAGCAGAAGAAUUACUGUUUUAAAAAAUAAAACUUGCAUCUUGA